UUGAGCUUCAUUUCUAUAAAGGGAAGAAAAAGUAUUUGGCGUGAUGUAUGUUUACUUCAUGGAUAUUUUAAGGUGCACUAUUUGCACUGAAGUGGAGUGUUAGGGACAAAGGUCUAAAGCAAUUCAGCCCACAGAUAUAGCUAUCGGGGAAGAAGUAAGAUAUAGUAUUUUGAGAUUUUUGGGGUCCCAAUGUUCUUAUGCAUAAAUUUUGGGGGCUUAAUGUCUAUAGUCAAAACUUUUGGGGUUUUUAUAUAACGAGUUUUAUUAAGAAAAGAAUGGGUGUAUUUAUUUUUUAGUAUCUUAAAUAUCCUGAUAUGUUCUUUUUAUGGUCAAUAACGACAUCAGAUAAUAUGUUUCAAUAGAUAUCACAAUAAUAAAUAAUUUAUCUAUAUAAUAGAAAAAAUAUAUAUAUCCAUAAAUAUCAUUUCUGCAUAUAGACCAUACAG
Molecule: long non-coding RNA, 446 nt
Filed under: Elaeis guineensis (African oil palm)
Lineage: Eukaryota; Viridiplantae; Streptophyta; Magnoliopsida; Arecales; Arecaceae
Description: long non-coding RNA (EGUI_LNC028155)
Source: RNAcentral